UUCAGUUUUCGGGCURGGCAAUUUGGGUUGUAAAGUUCUGCAAAGUCUUUUAUUCUCAUUGUUGUUUAGUUUGUAAAUGCAUUUGCAUACCGAGUGCGCCGAAUCGGUUGAAUUUGCCGUUUGAUAAUUUUAUAGAGGACUAACUUGUUGGAAACCUGUAAAACUUUAUGACGGAUGAAUUUGGCUGUCAAAUUGAGUUGGUUUUUCGYGAUAAUAGUUGUGAAUUGGAGUUGUUUUUGUACGAUGCAUGCGUUUUGCAGUUAUGGCUUUARUUCRCAWCCCUUAUUGCUCUGCUCUUUAUUCGGUGUUUAGUCAAUCACCUACCUGACCCGUCUUGAAACACGGACCAAGGAGUUUAAGGUGUACGCAAGUCAUUGAUUGUUUAAAGUCAUAGGCGUAAUGAAAGUGGGACACUUGGUGUCUGUGAUGUGAGCUUUUUUUGUUUCGACGAACUAAGCGCAACAUCGACCCAUGACUAGGGCUUGCUCUGUUGUGGAGUCUGAGCGUACGCUUUGAGACCC
RNAcentral lists this ribosomal RNA (521 nucleotides) under Aphelenchoides fragariae. Its description in RNAcentral is "eukaryotic LSU rRNA". It matches the Rfam family "Eukaryotic large subunit ribosomal RNA", at positions 403 to 817 of the family's 3401-position model. The record is from RNAcentral. Lineage: Eukaryota; Metazoa; Nematoda; Chromadorea; Rhabditida; Aphelenchoididae.